UAAUUUUUCUUCCCCUUCGUUUCUUCUCUUCCUAACGCUCACCUCCCCCUCUUCUCUCUUGUUUCGGCCUCAACUUUCAUGUGCUUUCUUAAAGCCCAACACCGUUGCCUUCAGAGCCACAACACCAGUGUAUCCGCACUGCAGAUCCACAGCAUCAGCGCCACAAAUUCAUGCAACAGUGUUCUUCGCAGAUCCAUGCA
This 200-nucleotide unclassified non-coding RNA is filed under the name Hevea brasiliensis (rubber tree). The record is from RNAcentral. Lineage: Eukaryota; Viridiplantae; Streptophyta; Magnoliopsida; Malpighiales; Euphorbiaceae.